Molecule: long non-coding RNA, 3466 nt
Organism: Myxocyprinus asiaticus (Chinese sucker)
Lineage: Eukaryota; Metazoa; Chordata; Actinopteri; Cypriniformes; Catostomidae
Exons: 3
Source: RefSeq, a predicted model, not a curated record
CUUUUAGAUACAGACAUUGGCUGUCAAUCAACUCGACAGUUGUUUUUUUAGCGUUAGGCCAUCUGAGGUAAAGAAACACAAUUUAUGAUACUAGUGUUGUCAGAUUUUACUGCUGAUUUGAAAUAUGUUCUUUGAUCGUAAUCUUGACCAACCAUGUAGGAGAUUUCGGUCUUUUCCCAUUCAAGUAGAUAGGAGCUGCACUGGCAUGACUGGAAAUAGCCUCCCGAGAGUGUUCCAAAGAUGGCCGACGGUGGCCUUACUUGCUUGAAAGACUUUGGUCGUUCUCAUUCACGAAAAAACGGAAGUCAACGAGAACGAUUCAUUACACCACUUAUUCGAAACAAAAUAAUGUUGUAGCAGAGACAGUCACUUGUAUUAAAAUGAAUGGGAGAAAUUUGAACUCCCAACAGUCAGUGGAUGUAGAAAAAGGUAAAGAGCCAGCCACCUUUUAAAUACACAUCGCCUGUCAAUCAACUCGAGAACGCGCAUGCGCAUUAGCUAUACAAGCCGGGAAAAUUCCAUUUUUAGCAAAAUCUGAGGUAACAGAAGCACAAUUUUUGAUACCAGUGUCAUCAGAUUUUACUGCUGAUUUGAGAUAUGGUCUUUGAUCGUAAUCUUAACCAAACAUUUUGGAGAUUUCAGUCUUUCCCCAUUCAAGUAGAUAGGAGCUGCAUUUGUAUGUCGCUUGUUUACAUACAAAAAUUGCUGCCCGAGAUCAUUUCAAAGAUGGCCGCCAGUGUCUUGCUAGAAAGACUUUGGCUGUUCCUGAUGCUUUGGCCACUUUAGGAACUAUUUUCACUAGCGGAUAAGAAAUGCUUUAUCUAACUGGCCAAUUUGGUCUGAAAUACUUUUUCCUCACUCUCUCACUAAGUGUGUGAAUGUUUGUCAAGUUCCAGGCAUGAGAGGGCAUUCGCCCAUGGACUGAGAUUGUGUGUUUUUGUGUUGCUUCAGGGGGUGUGUCACUGUACAGACAAAUCUCACUGGAACAUCCAUGAUAAGAGGUCAAAUUUUUUUGUCUGCUAAAAUUGGUCUAUACUUUUUGAAUUUCCGAACUACAGUUGUGCACAUGCACACCUUAGUGUGACACUAAAACAGCAUUCUUUCACUUUGAAUGGGUAUGACAUGUAAGGCACAGCGCAUAUGAUUUUCUCUACAAACCUCUAAAAAUGAGAUGCUAAAAUAUAAUUUGACUCUCGAUGGAUGUACUGUCAUGUUGUCUUCUACAGCGAAGAAUUUCUACAGCGUUAUAUUUGAUAGCAAUCUGUCCUUUGAAAACCACAUUUCCAAUGUUUGUAAAACAGCAUUCUUCCAUCUCAGAAAUAUUGCUAAGUUAUGAUACAUGCUCUCUGUUUCUAAUGCCGAAAAACUAAUUUAUGUGUUUAUGACCUCAAGACUAGAUUAUUGUAAUGCAUUACUGGGAGGAUGUACUGCAGGUUCCAUAAAUGAACUUCAGUUAGUUCAAAAUGCACCAGCUAGACUGCUGACUAAACAAAAAAUAUGAUCAUAUCAGCCCAAUCUUAGCAUCGCUACAAUGGCUAUCUGCACAAUUUCAUAUUCAUUUUAAAAUAAUCCUAACUACUUACAAAGCUGUAAAUGGUAUAGCUCCACAAUACUUAUGUGACCUUCUAUCACGCUAUAUUCAUCACGUUCACUAAAAUCGCAAAAUUCUGGCCUGUUAAUAAUACCUAGAAUAUCAAAAUCCACAAAAGGAGGUAGACCCUUUUCCUAUUUGGCACCUAAACUAUGGAAUAGUCUUCCGAAGAUGGUUCGGGACUCAGACACACUGGAACCGGAAAUGGAAACACUUCUCAUACUCUAUAAUCAUGUUUUAAAGUGAAUGGCAUCUAUGCUAAUAUUAUUCUAUUUGUUUCCCUGUCUUAACCUCGGGAUACAUAUCCUGAGGUUACCAGAGCCUGCCAGAUCCAGCUCUGGUCCUGCAUGAUGUCCGACUCCAGUCCUGCAUGAUGUCCGACUCCGGUCCUGCCUGAUGUUCGACUCCUACUACUACAUGUUGCUGAGUGAUGACAACUAACUGCAGCCUGUGCCAGCCAGAUAUCACUUCAGUCUACUACAAUGGACUUCACAGAGGAUGAACUGAUGCCAGCACUAACCAUCAGACAUGGGAUACUUCACUGGACACUGCCUGAAACUUGAACUUAAAAUGGACUCCAAAGGAAAUUAAUCUGCCACAAGCUUACAGUCAAACUGCAGUGCAACUUACUGACCUCUGCCUGCAUCACCUUGGUAAAAGGAUUGACUACACUCUUAAAAUGGAAUAUGUGGAUAAUAAAUUGAUUGCAGCCUUCAUCAGCAAAAUAACAAUAGACAAUGCAUCUGUUUGCACUUCUGCAGGUAAUUAAGAAUGUAAGUUCUAUGACUUUAGUCAUUAAUCUUACAGUUAAUACAAUAUCUUUUUGUUUAAACAUUGGCCCCCAACAUUUACUUGGUUUACUAAUUUUAAAUCUUGAUUUAUAAAACACAUAAAUAACUAAUAUUGGCAUUAUAUUAAUGCUGUUUAGCCAGAGGGGAACUGGCCAUCACAGUUAGCAUGGUUUCCCCCAAGGUUAUUUUUUUCCUUUAACCUACAUCUUAUGGAGUUUUGUGUUCCUUGCCACAGUCUCCUUAAGCUUGCUCACUGGGGGUCUAAAUAUAAAUAUAAUUAUUUUCUAUUAUUUAUUUUAAGGCACAAUUUACAAUCAUGUCUUUUUUUUUUCCUUUUUUUUUUUUUUUAAUCCGCACUAUUAUGACUUGAAUACAUUACUAUAAUACAGGUUUUUCUGUUGAAGCAUAAUUUUCUGUAAAGCUGCUUUGAAAUUAUGUGUGUUGUGAAAUGACUUUCUGAAACUUGGUUAAUUCAUUUGGUGCGUAAAUCUAGCAAUUUACAGCGUAAAUCUAGCAAUUUUUUUAUAUUGUUAUAUUACUCUUGCAUUCCUUUAAAAAAAUAUAUAUAUAUAUAUAUAUAUAUAAUAUACAUAUAUAUAUAUAUAGCACUGUUGCAAGGUUGCUGUUAAGGGAGUCACAGUACAUUUCUCUCUAUUUUUUCCUCUUUUGGAAAGGUGUGGAAAUGUAAUAGUGGAGUUUUUCUGUUGCUGUUGGAUAAAAUGAGAAUGCAAAAAUAAUAUUCGCUCUGAUCUUAUUCACCACUAUAAAAGUUUACCCCGCAAUAGUUCACUUUCGAGUUACAAACCCCGAAAAUUUGAAAAGGUUCAUUGGAGGAAGAGGAUGAGGAAGAAGAUCGAGUUGGAAGGCAUCCUUAAACACCCAGUCGCUCUUUUUUUAUUUAUAGCCUAUAUAUAUAUAGUAUUUGUUUGUUUGAUUGUGAAACAAAGUGUGAAAGCUAUUGCAGGGUAUCAUUAUUCUUGUGGAAGUAUCAAUGUUAGGGAUAGCCUAUAUAACACCUCGACUGCAAUUAUUUAUUAUUUAUGCUUAUCAAUUUAUCAAAUUUUUGACUGUUACGACUUUUACU